UACGGAGGGGGCUAGCGUUGUUCGGAAUUACUGGGCGUAAAGCGCACGUAGGCGGAUUGGCAAGUUGGGGGUGAAAUCCCAGGGCUCAACCCUGGAACUGCCCUCAAAACUCCCAGUCUGGAGGUCGAGAGAGGUGAGUGGAAUUCCGAGUGUAGAGGUGAAAUUCGUAGAUAUUCGGAGGAACACCAGUGGCGAAGGCGGCUCACUGGCUCGAUACUGACGCUGAGGUGCGAAAGCGUGGGGAGCAAACAGG
Molecule: ribosomal RNA, 253 nt
Filed under: uncultured bacterium
Lineage: Bacteria
Description: partial 16S ribosomal RNA
Rfam family: Bacterial small subunit ribosomal RNA
Source: RNAcentral